Molecule: transfer RNA, 72 nt
Filed under: archaeon
Lineage: Archaea
Also listed under: 1 other name
Description: tRNA-Asp
Rfam family: tRNA
About the family: Transfer RNA (tRNA) molecules are approximately 80 nucleotides in length. Their secondary structure includes four short double-helical elements and three loops (D, anti-codon, and T loops). Further hydrogen bonds mediate the characteristic L-shaped molecular structure. tRNAs have two regions of fundamental functional importance: the anti-codon, which is responsible for specific mRNA codon recognition, and the 3' end, to which the tRNAs corresponding amino acid is attached (by aminoacyl-tRNA synthetases). tRNAs cope with the degeneracy of the genetic code in two manners: having more than one tRNA (with a specific anti-codon) for a particular amino acid; and 'wobble' base-pairing, i.e. permitting non-standard base-pairing at the 3rd anti-codon position.
Source: RNAcentral
GCCCUGAUAGUCUAGCGGUUAGGAUGCGGCCCUGUCGAGGCCGCGACUCGGGUUCGAUUCCCGGUCAGGGCG